RNAcentral lists this ribosomal RNA (253 nucleotides) under uncultured archaeon. RNAcentral's name for it is "partial 16S ribosomal RNA". It matches the Rfam family "Archaeal small subunit ribosomal RNA", at positions 474 to 727 of the family's 1478-position model. The record is from RNAcentral.
UACCAGCCCCGCGAGUGGUCGGGACGUUUACUGGGCCUAAAGCGCCCGUAGCCGGCCCGGCAAGUCCCCACUGAAAUCCCUGGGCUCAACCUGGGGACGGGUGGGGAUACUGCCGGGCUAGGGGGCGGGAGAGGCCGAGGGUACUCCCGGGGUAGGGGCGAAAUCCGAUAAUCCCGGGAGGACCACCAGUGGCGAAGGCGCUCGGCUGGAACGCGCCCGACGGUGAGGGGCGAAAGCCGGGGGCGCGAACCGG